CGGCUUACUGAGGUUU
RNAcentral lists this small RNA (16 nucleotides) under Arabidopsis thaliana (thale cress). RNAcentral describes it as "ATSL133500". The record is from RNAcentral. Lineage: Eukaryota; Viridiplantae; Streptophyta; Magnoliopsida; Brassicales; Brassicaceae.